UGGUGGUGUGAAUUGUCUGGUUGAUUCCGUUAACGAACGAGACCUUUGCUGGUAAAUAGGUACGGGAAGGUUUUGCGUAAAGGUGUAGUGGGCCAACUUUAGGAAGGAUCCGUUCCCCUAGAGUUGCCGAUCCGCUACAUUGCAUAGCUUCCUGGAGAUCCUUCUUACUAGGACUAUUGGUGACAAGCCAAUGGAAGUUGGAGGCCAAAACA
This 212-nucleotide ribosomal RNA is filed under the name uncultured eukaryote. Its description in RNAcentral is "partial 18S ribosomal RNA". It matches the Rfam family "Eukaryotic small subunit ribosomal RNA", at positions 1299 to 1458 of the family's 1831-position model. The record is from RNAcentral.